GAUCAUAUCAAUAUCCUAAAACCUGUAAACAUAUAGUACAGGACUCUUUGAAGUACACGUCUCCUUUACUAUGAGUGCCUUUAGAGCCAUGCUAGUGUGAGACAAUAUCGUGAUUAUUAAUAAAGUUUUAAUUUUGUAAAGUAACAAAUACAGUGUUUUCACUAUUGACUGAAAUCGCUGGAUAUUUGUUGAAGGAAACCUCUUUCUGAACUCUGAUAAAAAUGUAUUCCAAGAGGAAGAAUGGACUAUCCCAGCCUGGGUUGCCUUCUCAGUGAGAGAGAUGAUUAAUGAACUUGCAUAUCAAUUAACACUGGAAUUGUUUGGAUUGACUUAAAACCGGAAUAGUACUGUCUCAGACUUGAAAUUUUGUCCUUUGCCUGGUAUUAAUAUCUUGGUGUUUUACUCUAUAACUGUUUUCUAGGGUGAAAAUGUUUUACAUCUUUGUACCACUUGUCUCUUUGUGCACUUAUUUUGUAAUAAAUGUAUUUACAUUGAAAACUAAUACCUUUUUGGGGCCAAUCUUUCAUUUAUUGAGGCAUUGAAAAGAGAAUGGGGUUAUAGCAGAUGUACACAUGUCAAGAGUGCAAUGGCUAUGCACAAUAAACUAAACUCCUGAGUAAGUCAUUCAUUUUUUAAAUAAGCAAGCUAAGCAAACACAUCUAAGCAUUAAACAGAACUGUAACAUUAGGCAUUUCAGAUCAUCUAGACAUGUGUAGAAGUAGCAGAGAGAGAGAAAAAUUGCCUUUGCUAAAAACAUGCUAACCUGACAUGAGGAAGAUGAAGGGCAUAGUGCCAUGAGCAGUACUACAAUAAUGCUAUCAGGAGGAGUGAAGUACCACUUGGUAACUAAACUGGGCUAUUGCAGUGGAGCGAUAAAAGCACAUUAGUCGAGUAGAG
Non-coding RNA from Pelobates cultripes (western spadefoot toad), 897 nucleotides. NCBI's taxonomy places the organism in Eukaryota, Metazoa, Chordata, Amphibia, Anura, Pelobatidae. The record is from the annotation of a GenBank genome assembly.